GCGGCAGUAGUCUAGCCUGGUUAGGACUCAGGCUUGCCGAGCCUGAAGCGCGGGUUCAAAUCCCGCCUGCCGCA
RNAcentral lists this transfer RNA (74 nucleotides) under Hadesarchaea archaeon. Its description in RNAcentral is "tRNA-Gly". It matches the Rfam family "tRNA". From Rfam's summary of the family: Transfer RNA (tRNA) molecules are approximately 80 nucleotides in length. Their secondary structure includes four short double-helical elements and three loops (D, anti-codon, and T loops). Lineage: Archaea; Methanobacteriati; Hadarchaeota (SeqCode); Hadarchaeia (SeqCode). The record is from RNAcentral. RNAcentral also lists the same sequence under 1 other name.